RNAcentral lists this ribosomal RNA (1526 nucleotides) under Salmonella enterica subsp. enterica serovar Enteritidis. RNAcentral's name for it is "bacterial SSU rRNA". It matches the Rfam family "Bacterial small subunit ribosomal RNA". Lineage: Bacteria; Pseudomonadati; Pseudomonadota; Gammaproteobacteria; Enterobacterales; Enterobacteriaceae. The record is from RNAcentral.
GAUUGAACGCUGGCGGCAGGCCUAACACAUGCAAGUCGAACGGUAACAGGAAGCAGCUUGCUGCUUUGCUGACGAGUGGCGGACGGGUGAGUAAUGUCUGGGAAACUGCCUGAUGGAGGGGGAUAACUACUGGAAACGGUGGCUAAUACCGCAUAACGUCGCAAGACCAAAGAGGGGGACCUUCGGGCCUCUUGCCAUCAGAUGUGCCCAGAUGGGAUUAGCUUGUUGGUGAGGUAACGGCUCACCAAGGCGACGAUCCCUAGCUGGUCUGAGAGGAUGACCAGCCACACUGGAACUGAGACACGGUCCAGACUCCUACGGGAGGCAGCAGUGGGGAAUAUUGCACAAUGGGCGCAAGCCUGAUGCAGCCAUGCCGCGUGUAUGAAGAAGGCCUUCGGGUUGUAAAGUACUUUCAGCGGGGAGGAAGGUGUUGUGGUUAAUAACCGCAGCAAUUGACGUUACCCGCAGAAGAAGCACCGGCUAACUCCGUGCCAGCAGCCGCGGUAAUACGGAGGGUGCAAGCGUUAAUCGGAAUUACUGGGCGUAAAGCGCACGCAGGCGGUCUGUCAAGUCGGAUGUGAAAUCCCCGGGCUCAACCUGGGAACUGCAUUCGAAACUGGCAGGCUUGAGUCUUGUAGAGGGGGGUAGAAUUCCAGGUGUAGCGGUGAAAUGCGUAGAGAUCUGGAGGAAUACCGGUGGCGAAGGCGGCCCCCUGGACAAAGACUGACGCUCAGGUGCGAAAGCGUGGGGAGCAAACAGGAUUAGAUACCCUGGUAGUCCACGCCGUAAACGAUGUCUACUUGGAGGUUGUGCCCUUGAGGCGUGGCUUCCGGAGCUAACGCGUUAAGUAGACCGCCUGGGGAGUACGGCCGCAAGGUUAAAACUCAAAUGAAUUGACGGGGGCCCGCACAAGCGGUGGAGCAUGUGGUUUAAUUCGAUGCAACGCGAAGAACCUUACCUGGUCUUGACAUCCACAGAAGAAUCCAGAGAUGGAUUUGUGCCUUCGGGAACUGUGAGACAGGUGCUGCAUGGCUGUCGUCAGCUCGUGUUGUGAAAUGUUGGGUUAAGUCCCGCAACGAGCGCAACCCUUAUCCUUUGUUGCCAGCGGUUAGGCCGGGAACUCAAAGGAGACUGCCAGUGAUAAACUGGAGGAAGGUGGGGAUGACGUCAAGUCAUCAUGGCCCUUACGACCAGGGCUACACACGUGCUACAAUGGCGCAUACAAAGAGAAGCGACCUCGCGAGAGCAAGCGGACCUCAUAAAGUGCGUCGUAGUCCGGAUUGGAGUCUGCAACUCGACUCCAUGAAGUCGGAAUCGCUAGUAAUCGUGGAUCAGAAUGCCACGGUGAAUACGUUCCCGGGCCUUGUACACACCGCCCGUCACACCAUGGGAGUGGGUUGCAAAAGAAGUAGGUAGCUUAACCUUCGGGAGGGCGCUUACCACUUUGUGAUUCAUGACUGGGGUGAAGUCGUAACAAGGUAACCGUAGGGGAACCUGCGGUUGGAUCACCUCCUUACCUUAAAGAA